GACGAACGCUGGCGGCGUGCUUAACACAUGCCAGUCGAACGGAAAGGCCCUGCUUGCAGGGUGCUCGAGUGGCGAACGGGUGAGUAACACGUGGGUGAUCUGCCCCUUACUUUGGGAUAAGCCUGGGAAACUGGGUCUAAUACUGGAUAGGACCAUGCUGUAGGUGGUGUGGUGGAAAGAUUAGUUUCGGUAAGGGAUGAGCUCGCGGCCUAUCAGCUUGUUGGUGGGGUAAUGGCCUACCAAGGCGUCGACGGGUAGCCGGCCUGAGAGGGUGGACGGCCACAUUGGGACUGAGAUACGGCCCAGACUCCUACGGGAGGCAGCAGUGGGGAAUAUUGCACAAUGGGCGCUAGCCUGAUGCAGCGACGCCGCGUGGGGGAUGACGGCCUUCGGGUUGUAAACUCCUUUCAGCCAUGACGAAGCCCUUGUGGUGACGGUAGUGGUAGAAGAAGCACCGGCUAACUACGUG
Molecule: ribosomal RNA, 469 nt
Filed under: uncultured bacterium
Lineage: Bacteria
Description: partial 16S ribosomal RNA
Rfam family: Bacterial small subunit ribosomal RNA
Source: RNAcentral